GACGAACGCUGGCGGCGUGCUUAACACAUGCAAGUCGAACGGAAAGGCCUGCUUUCCCUUGUGGAUUGCGGGUACUCGAGUGGCGAACGGGUGAGUAACACGUGAGUGAUCUGCCCCCAACUUGGGUAUAAGCCUGGGAAACUGGGUCUAAUUCCCGAUAGGACUGCAGGGUGGUGCCUGUGGUGGAAAACGAUUUUCUAGUGGUUGGGGAUGAGCUCGCGGCCUAUCAGCUUGUUGGGGGGGUAAUGGCCUACCAAGGCGGCGACGGGUAGCCGGCCUGGGAGGCGGGACGGAGAGGUUGGGAAUAGGACGCGGGCGAGACUACGACGGGGGGCAGCAGCGGGGGGGGGUGCAACAGGGUCGGGAGUCUAACCCACCGACGCCGCGUGGGAGAUCACGUUGUUCGGGGGGUAAACUCCUUUGGAGCGGGAGGAAGCCACGUGGUUGGCAGGGUGGUGACGGUAGUGGUAGAAGAAGCACCGGCUAACUACGUG
RNAcentral lists this ribosomal RNA (494 nucleotides) under uncultured bacterium. RNAcentral's name for it is "partial 16S ribosomal RNA". It matches the Rfam family "Bacterial small subunit ribosomal RNA", at positions 28 to 507 of the family's 1533-position model. The record is from RNAcentral.